CAUGUCCAUGAGGCUGGAGGAAGUUAAUGAGAGAGAACACUCUAUGAAGGCUUCACUCCAGACUGUGGACAUCCGGCUGGCACAGCUGGAGGACCUAAUCGGGCGCAUGGCCACGGCCCUGGAGCGCCUAACGGGUCUGGAGCGGGCAGAGUCCAACAAGAUCCGCUCAAGGACCUCCUCAGAUUGCACAGAUGCGGCCUACAUUGUCCGCCAGAGCAGCUUCAACAGCCAGGAGGGGAACACCUUCAAACUUCAAGAGAGUAUAGACCCUGCAGAGCAUCCUUUUUAUUCAGUGUAAGCCGGCAGCAAGCAGUUCUACCUAACGUCCCACAUCCUUCUCAUGCCAACACUUCUGUAAUUGGUCAUUAUAAAGAAAAACAAGGUAACAGUCAUAUAUACAGUUCACCUGUCUCUUAUAUAUUCACUUCUGGUGCCACAAUUGUUUAUCUCUGUAGAAGAAAAUAAGGGAACAGAAAUGCCUUUUUUUUUUCUCUUUUGGUUUUGCAAUCAAAAUGAAAGAAGAAUUAAUGUUGAAAGCAAAAGUCUUAUGAUUUAUAAUAUACCAUGGGCAAUCAAGUAUAUAGUCAAGCAAGCUCAGGAUGAAUGUAAUUAGAUAAUUUUAUAUUUUUAAGUUAUUUUGUAUCUCACCUGUCAUCAGUGAAUUCACUAUCAAAUAUGUAAUAUUGAACUAAAAAAAAAAGUGGAAAGAACUGACAUUAAAUUGCCACGUGGGAUUAUUGUUAGCGUCUCGCCAUUCAUCGUGUGUGAUGCUGCUGUGUGGCCUUCAUCAUUUGCAUGUCUCCACUAUGUCCUCCGAACACCUCCAAGAUGUAACUGCCAAAUUUUCACACCACUCAUCAUGUGACCAUUUUGUAUUUGAACACAUGGUUAUAUGUGGAUAUUUUCAUACGUAGAAUUUAGCCAUCUAAUCUUGGGCUCAGCAUAAAUUUAAUCGGAGUUUUUCAAGGGCUGGUAUCUUUUUUAUGGAAAUGUUCCAAAGUACUCUUGUUUUUGUUUUUGAGACAGGGUUUCUCUGUGUAACAGCUCUGGCUGUCCUGAAACUCACUUUGUAGACCAGGCUGGCCUUCAACUCACAGAGAUCUGCCUGCUUCUGCCUCCCUAGUGCUGGGAUUAAAGGCUUGUGCCAUCACAACCCAACUCCAAAGUACUUUUUAAAGAAAUUUAAAAAACAUAAAUAACCAUAGACUUGACUAGGGGCUUGACAUCAACCCAAAGCCAUCAUCAGCUGCAGGCAGACCAUGAAUAUGUUUCUUAUUUACGGAGCUCUAAAGAAGAUACAGUAGGCCAAAAUAGAAAGCAAAUAUACCAUAUACAGUUCUAUAGUUUAUGUUGCUUAUGUAUACAUCCACAUACACAGACACAUGUUUAUAUAGAGUAAUAGACACAGAGAUUUCUUAAGUGGCCUUGACUUCCUGUCAUCUGGAGGUAUAACCAAGAUUAUUUUUUAGUAUCCAAGGAGUUUUGUUGGAAAAAUAGUUCAUUGUGCUAUUGGCCCCACUGUUGAAAUAAUACUUUCCAGAAAAUCUCUGUCUCUUUAAUCUUCCCUUACACUGAACAAGAACUGUCAAAAUGGCUCACCCCUUCCCUCUCCCUCCUCUGGUUUGGAGGCAUCCAAUGUCAUGACAUCUCUUUCACUCUGGUUUCUCGGACAUGAAGUUAUUCCCACAAAAUACAAUCUGAAUAGAUGUGUGAUUGCAAGCCUGUUUGUAUUACACAGUCUGGAAUGGAGGCGUAAGUUUCUAGAUUAGAAUUCAGAUUUGAAAUAGGAUGAAGAAAUCUUGACCACAAAACUUUGGAUUCCUAUUUGGAUCAUUGAACAUUUUAAGAUAAAGUCUUUAAGAAAAAUUAUUUGGAGCCAGGCGUAGUGGUGAUGCACACCUGUGACCCAGCACUGGGAGGGAAGAGGCAGGAGGAUGAGGAAUUCAGAGUCAGCCUCUGCUACAUACCACAUCCAAGGCUACAUGAGACCCUGUCACACACACACACACACACACACACACACCAAAAAAAAAAAAAAAAAAAAAAAAAGGAAAGAAAGAAAAAAAAACAUUGUAAAAGAAAAGUAUUUUGAACUAGGGAUUGGGCUCAGUGGCCCAGCACU
This 2122-nucleotide long non-coding RNA is filed under the name Cricetulus griseus (Chinese hamster). RNAcentral's name for it is "lncRNA (ENSCGRG00000025686.1)". Lineage: Eukaryota; Metazoa; Chordata; Mammalia; Rodentia; Cricetidae. The record is from RNAcentral.